GGCCACGGCCAUACCACCCUGAGCGUGCCCAAUCUCGUCUGAUCUUGGAAGCUAUGCAAGGUCAGGCCUGAUUAGCAUUUGGGAGAAAAAUUAGCUUGGCAUGGUGG
Molecule: ribosomal RNA, 107 nt
Filed under: Prolemur simus (greater bamboo lemur)
Lineage: Eukaryota; Metazoa; Chordata; Mammalia; Primates; Lemuridae
Source: RNAcentral